This 253-nucleotide ribosomal RNA is filed under the name uncultured bacterium. RNAcentral's name for it is "partial 16S ribosomal RNA". It matches the Rfam family "Bacterial small subunit ribosomal RNA", at positions 524 to 776 of the family's 1533-position model. The record is from RNAcentral.
UACGGGGGGGGCAAGCGUUGUUCGGAAUUACUGGGCGUAAAGGGCUCGUAGGCGGCCAACUAAGUCGGACGUGAAAUCCCUCGGCUUAACCGGGGAACUGCGUCCGAUACUGGAUGGCUUGAGUUCGGGAGAGGGAUGCGGAAUUCCAGGUGUAGCGGUGAAAUGCGUAGAUAUUGGGAGGAACACCAGUGGCGAAGGCGGCUCACUGGACCGGAACUGACGCUGAGGCGCGAAAGCGUGGGGAGCAAACGGG